This 440-nucleotide ribosomal RNA is filed under the name uncultured bacterium. RNAcentral describes it as "partial 16S ribosomal RNA". It matches the Rfam family "Bacterial small subunit ribosomal RNA", at positions 338 to 795 of the family's 1533-position model. The record is from RNAcentral.
CCUACGGGGGGCAGCAGUGGGGGAUAUUGCACAAUGGGGGAAACUCUGAUGCAGCGACGCCGCGUGAGUGAAGAAGUAUUUCGGUACGUAAAGCUCUAUCAGCAGGGAAGAAAAUGACAGUAACUGACCAAUAAGCCCCGGCUAACUACGUGCCAGCAGCCGCGGUAUAACGUAGGGGGCAAGCGUGAUCCGGAUGUACGGGGUGUAAAGGGAGCGUAGACGGUUAUGUAAGUCUGGAGUGAAAGCCCGGGGCCCAACCCCGGGACUGCUCUGGAAACUGUGUAACUGGAGUACAGGAGGGGCAGGCGGAAUGCCUGGUGUAGCGGUGAAAUGCGUAGAUAUCAGGAGGAACACCGGCGGCGAAGGCGGCCUGCUGGACUGAAACUGACGUUGAGGCUCGAAAGCGUGGGGAGCAAACGGGAUUAGAUACCCGUGUAGUC